Molecule: unclassified non-coding RNA, 229 nt
Filed under: plant metagenome
Description: partial contains small subunit ribosomal RNA, internal transcribed spacer 1, and 5.8S ribosomal RNA
Source: RNAcentral
UCUCCGUAGGUGAACCUGCGGAGGGAUCAUUACAGAGUUCAUGCCCUACCGGGUAGAUCUCCCACCCUAUGUUAUUAUUACUUUGUUGCUUGGGCGGGCCGUUAGGCUCCGGCCCGACUACCGGCCCCGGCUGGUAAGCGCCCGCCAGAGGACCCAAAACCCUGAACAUUAGUGUCGUCUGAGUACUAUAUAAUAGUUAAAACUUUCAACAACGGAUCUCUUGGUUCUG